GGCCCCCUGAAGCUCCCGGCAGCCAAUGGCCAGGCCCGCCCCAACUCGCCCCGGCCGCGACUUCCUGGGGAUUGGCCGCCCACCCCGCGGCCCUCCUCCCCGCCCGCCCCUGCCCAGAGCCUUCCUGGGGAUUGGCUGCCUGCUCCGCCGCCCUCCUGGUCUUUGCGCCUGGCGCGGGCCCCGGCCUUUCUGUCCCAAGGAGUUGAUCGGCUGAUCCGCCGCUACUUUGUAGCGGGUCGCGGGGCAGGGCCUUUACCGCUGCAGAAAGAACCCCGACCCGGGCUGACCUUGGGCCCUGGGACGUUGUCCCUGACGUCUCAAAGAUGCAGCGACCUCGGUUAUAAGCGCAGGUCAAAAACAAGUCAAGCCAUUGAAGCUGGGAUGCUCUAAUGCUGGUAUUUCAACGAAUUAACUGGCAACACCGAUUACUCUACAGUUAGGAAAAUGCCUCUAAGGAAGUAAAAUAUUUUACAUGUAAUAACUGUAUCUGUGCCCUGCCACAGGAGUUAAGAGCAGUAGGACUGUGACAGGACAAUGUGGCAUGUGCUUCAUGUACCCCUUUCACUUAAUUUUCUCAACUGAGGUAGGUACUAUUCUGCCAUUUUACAGAUGAAAAAAUGGGUUAGGUGGGGACUUGUCACCUGAGUAACUCUGAACAAAGAACUUCACAUUUGUAACUUGUGACUGUGUAACUAGUGAGAUCCCUUGAGAUGUGGUGUUCCUGUAUAACAGUAAAAACAUCUAAAGAGAUCGUGCCAGUUUGUGGGGGAAAGGGCCACAAAAGAGCUGUUAAAAAUAUACACUCUUUAACAGUAUUUAAUUACAUUAAACCUAGUUUCCCACAAAGGGAGCAUAUGUCAGCAUGUUAGGUGUUUCUGAUGUAUGUACCGUGAUAAGGUAUAUAAAAGGGGGUUUUAAAGGACACGAUGGUACUAGAUGACUAAAAUAUAUAAAUGUUAGAUGGCAGUGGGGAAGGGCAUGUGAUGAUCUGCAAAGAUGCAUGGAGCCCACUCUAUUACUAGAACAAACUCAUUCCUAGUAAUCAAUUUACUUGUCCAACAAUGGAUUUUUUUUUUAAGUAGCCUGUUUGCCAGUUUACAAAUAACUCAUUUUCCAGAAACUUUAAAUAAAGGUAUUUAA
Molecule: long non-coding RNA, 1140 nt
Organism: Sciurus carolinensis (gray squirrel)
Lineage: Eukaryota; Metazoa; Chordata; Mammalia; Rodentia; Sciuridae
Exons: 3
Source: RefSeq, a predicted model, not a curated record